Molecule: long non-coding RNA, 281 nt
Filed under: Elaeis guineensis (African oil palm)
Lineage: Eukaryota; Viridiplantae; Streptophyta; Magnoliopsida; Arecales; Arecaceae
Description: long non-coding RNA (EGUI_LNC053928)
Source: RNAcentral
UCCAGCAGGGGGUCAUCCGACAGUGGAGUUCGGAUGGUGUUGUGGAGGUUUGUCUGUUGGAGGAGUUUUGAGGACACUAUGAAAGGUCAAAUACUGGAGGAGUCUGGGAUUCAAUUCUGCUGUAGAAGUUCGGACGGAGUCCGACUUUUGUAGUAGUCUGAAAGGAGGCCGCUUAUGUAGAAGCUCGGAUGGAGACUUCUUAUUAUAGAAGUCCCACUGCUGGAGAAGCUCGAUCAUUGAUAAAGUUCGGAAGAAGUUCAGAAUAGAAAUCUGGCUGGUGG